This 759-nucleotide ribosomal RNA is filed under the name Parahaemophilus parainfluenzae. RNAcentral describes it as "Haemophilus parainfluenzae bacterial SSU rRNA". It matches the Rfam family "Bacterial small subunit ribosomal RNA", at positions 28 to 776 of the family's 1533-position model. The record is from RNAcentral. Lineage: Bacteria; Pseudomonadati; Pseudomonadota; Gammaproteobacteria; Pasteurellales; Pasteurellaceae.
AUUGAACGCUGGCGGCAGGCUUAACACAUGCAAGUCGAACGGUAACAUAAAGAAGCUUGCUUCUUUGAUGACGAGUGGCGGACGGGUGAGUAAUGCUUGGGAAUCUAGCUUAUGGAGGGGGAUAACUACGGGAAACUGUAGCUAAUACCGCGUAGUAUCGAGAGAUGAAAGUGUGGGACCUUCGGGCCACAUGCCAUAGGAUGAGCCCAAGUGGGAUUAGGUAGUUGGUGAGGUAAAGGCUCACCAAGCCGACGAUCUCUAGCUGGUCUGAGAGGAUGACCAGCCACACUGGGACUGAGACACGGCCCAGACUCCUACGGGAGGCAGCAGUGGGGAAUAUUGCGCAAUGGGGGCAACCCUGACGCAGCCAUGCCGCGUGAAUGAAGAAGGCCUUCGGGUUGUAAAGUUCUUUCGGUAGCGAGGAAGGCAUUUAGUUUAAUAGACUAGGUGAUUGACGUUAACUACAGAAGAAGCACCGGCUAACUCCGUGCCAGCAGCCGCGGUAAUACGGAGGGUGCGAGCGUUAAUCGGAAUAACUGGGCGUAAAGGGCACGCAGGCGGUGACUUAAGUGAGGUGUGAAAGCCCCGGGCUUAACCUGGGAAUUGCAUUUCAUACUGGGUCGCUAGAGUACUUUAGGGAGGGGUAGAAUUCCACGUGUAGCGGUGAAAUGCGUAGAGAUGUGGAGGAAUACCGAAGGCGAAGGCAGCCCCUUGGGAAUGUACUGACGCUCAUGUGCGAAAGCGUGGGGAGCAAAUAGG